CAUUACCGAGUUCUCGGGCU
This 20-nucleotide ribosomal RNA is filed under the name Diplodia scrobiculata. Its description in RNAcentral is "partial 18S ribosomal RNA". Lineage: Eukaryota; Fungi; Ascomycota; Dothideomycetes; Botryosphaeriales; Botryosphaeriaceae. The record is from RNAcentral.